GGAUGCGAUCAUACCACCACUAAAGCACCGGAUCCCAUCAGUACUCCGUAGUUAAGCGUGCUUGGGCGAGAGUAGUGCUAGGAUGGAUUACCUCCUAGGAAGUCCUUGUGUUGCAUUCC
Triticum aestivum (bread wheat) is the source of this 119-nucleotide non-coding RNA. NCBI's taxonomy places the organism in Eukaryota, Viridiplantae, Streptophyta, Magnoliopsida, Poales, Poaceae. The record is from Rfam.